RNAcentral lists this ribosomal RNA (244 nucleotides) under uncultured bacterium. RNAcentral describes it as "partial 16S ribosomal RNA". It matches the Rfam family "Bacterial small subunit ribosomal RNA", at positions 90 to 334 of the family's 1533-position model. The record is from RNAcentral.
CGUGAGCGGCGGACGGGUGAGUAACGCGUGGGUAACCUGCUCAUACAGGGGGAUAACAGUUGAAAACGGACUGCUAAUACCGCAUAAGCGCACAGUACCGCAUGGUACGGUGUGAAAAACUCCGGUGGUAUGAGAUGGACCCGCGUCUGAUUAGGUAGUUGGUGGGGUAACGGCCUACCAAGCCGACGAUCAGUAGCCGACCUGAGAGGGUGACCGGCCACAUUGGGACUGAGACACGGCCCAA